UGAGGUAGUAGGUUGUGUGGCU
RNAcentral lists this non-coding RNA (22 nucleotides) under Ovis aries (sheep). The record is from RNAcentral. Lineage: Eukaryota; Metazoa; Chordata; Mammalia; Artiodactyla; Bovidae. RNAcentral also lists the same sequence under 1 other name.